RNAcentral lists this ribosomal RNA (460 nucleotides) under uncultured bacterium. Its description in RNAcentral is "partial 16S ribosomal RNA". It matches the Rfam family "Bacterial small subunit ribosomal RNA", at positions 338 to 795 of the family's 1533-position model. The record is from RNAcentral.
CCUACGGGAGGCAGCAGUGAGGAAUAUUGCUCAAUGGACGAGAGUCUGAACCAGCCACGCAGCGUGAAGGAUGACUGCCCUCGGGGCUGUAAACUUCUUUUAUAUGGGAAUAAAUUCUUCCACGUGUGGAAUUUUGUAUGUACCAUAUGAAUACGGAUCGCCUAACUCCGUGCCAGCAGCCGCGGUAAUACGGAGGAUCCGAGCGUUAUCCGGAUUUAGUGGGUGUAAAGGGAGCGUAGGUGGAUUGUUAAGUCAGUUGUGAAAGUUUGCGGCUCAACCGUACAAUUGCAGUUGAAACUGGCAGUCUUGAGUACAGUAGAGGUGGGCGGAAUUCGUGGUGUAGCGGUGAAAUGCUUAGAGAUCACGAAGAACUCCGGUUGCGAAGGCAGCUUACUGGACUGCAACUGACACUGAGGCGCGAAAGUGUGGGGAUCAAACAGGAUUAGAUACCCGAGUAGUC